GAUGAACGCUGGCGGCGUGCUUAACACAUGCAAGUCGAACGGUGAAGGCGGAGCUUGCUCUGCUGGAUCAGUGGCGAACGGGUGAGUAACACGUGAGCAAUCUGCCCCUGACUCUGGGAUAAGCGCUGGAAACGGCGUCUAAUACUGGAUACGAGCUGCGAAGGCAUCUUCAGCAGCUGGAAAGAACUUCGGUCAGGGAUGAGCUCGCGGCUUAUCAGCUUGUUGGUGAGGUAACGGCUCACCAAGGCGUCGACGGGUAGCCGGCCUGAGAGGGUGACCGGCCACACUGGGACUGAGACACGGCCCAGACUCCUACGGGAGGCAGCAGUGGGGAGUAUUGCACAGUGAGCGAGAGCCUGAUGCAGCAACGCCGCGUGAGGGACGACGGCCUUCGGGUUGUAAACCUCUUUUAGCAGGGAAGAAGCGGUAGUGACGGUACCUGCAGAAAAAGCGCCGGCUAACUACGUG
This 468-nucleotide ribosomal RNA is filed under the name uncultured bacterium. RNAcentral describes it as "partial 16S ribosomal RNA". It matches the Rfam family "Bacterial small subunit ribosomal RNA", at positions 28 to 507 of the family's 1533-position model. The record is from RNAcentral.